GCGAUUCUUCCACGGCGCUCGAAGCGCGUCGUGGUAUUUCGCGUAUUGUAAUUUCAACACGAGCGGGGUCAAAUCCUUUGCAGACGACUUAGCUGUGCGAAACGGUCCUGUAAGCAGUAGAGUAGCCUUGUUGUUACGAUCUGCUGAGGGUAAGCCGUCCUUCGCCUCGAUUUCCCCAAUGGGUUCUCCGGAUUUCUGGAGACUUGUAGGGGUUGUGGGAUUUUUGAUGUGUCGUCUCCGGACGGGCGGUGCAGGGUAGUCGAGUUAGACUUGGUGGAAUUCCGUCGAUAGGAGUUCCGUCGAGUCUGGUCGGCUGUGUGUUGGACGGUGCAGGGUAGGCUGCUUGGACAUGGUCGGUUCGAGGAUCGAUUCGAGGGCCGGCCCGUCGAUGAUGUGUGAUGUAUGCGGUCUAGGGUAGGCUGGUUUGUCUUGGUCCAAUUUGAUGUCGGCUCCCGCGCAGGCCAGAGUGAAGGGGGGUCCAGGGUAGGUACAGGGUAGGCAGCUUAGAUUUGGUCGAUCUGGAGGUCGAUUCUCCGGCUGGCGGAUCUGACACUGUCGAAACGAGAUGCGAGCGGUGUAGGGUAGGCUAGUUUCGUCCUCGCCAGGUUGCGAUUUGGACGAGAUAUGUGGUCUAGGGUAGGCUCUAGGGUAAGUAGAAUUCGAGUUUCGUCGCCGACAGUUUUCUGUGGGUGUAUGGUAGGUACAGGGUAGGCAAAUCUCUCUCCGGCCAGUACUUGUCUGGUGGUCGUGAGUCGAUUUUUUUGUUUUGCCAUACUAUUGAAUUUUGCGGAAAUUCAAAAGUGGCUCGGGAGUCCCGCCUGGCGUGCGUCCGACUCGAACAUCGUCGGUGUACAUAUGAGAGGGAGUAAUCCGGCCCGGCCGGGGCCCAUCGCGAGCUGCCGGGUAGGUAAAAGUAAAAAAGUUGUUAAGAGGCGCGGUGUCGGCGUGCUUGUAUUUGCGGGAGAGAAUUAUCUGGAGGUGCUGGGUAGCCGGGAAGACUUGGACGGAUCUGGCCCGGGAAUGGGUCUGGGCCUGGAUUCUGGUGUGGUGUAGGAUAAGCAUAGAUAGAUGAGUGGUCUAGGGUAGCCAGAAGUCUGGUAUAUAGUAUGGGGGGUGUAGGGUAGGUCUGGACACCGUUUUCCACUUCGCCCUUCCCUUUACUCGAGGGAGGACGAUCUUGGCUGGGAUGGAGGUGUAGGGUAGGCUUAACUUACGAUUACAUGAUCUGUGUCACUCUAGGGUAGGUGAAAAUCCCAUAUAUAUCUGAUCACAUUUGGUGAAGAGGUGGUUUGGCUGGUGAGAUGGACAAAAGUGCAAUGUAGAAUUAUAUGUGAUUUUGCAAAAGUGGGUGUGAAAUUGGGAAAUCGGUUUUCCCGCACAGAUGAGAGCACGUUUGAGGUGCCAUGAGAUGCACCUCUCUGAGACGACCUCAACGGUACCACCGAUGUGUUGGUCGGGCUCCUGUGCGGCCGUCCAGGGCGGGAUAUGUAGAGAAUGUGGUGGUGUAGGGUAGGUGGCCAGGUCCAGGGUAGGUUCUCCAAAUCCGUCAAUCCGGCUUGAAUCGAAGGACAGGUCUAGGGUAGGCCAGAGUCGGGUCUAGGGUAGGCAGCUCUCACCCUCGAAGUGGUCUACCCGGUAGUCAACUUCAAUCGCCUCUCACGGCCGCCACGGACCUCGCAUGACGACGGGACCACCACCAUCGGAUUUGCCUUGGUCGAAAUAGUCGGUAUAUGCACUUUUGAAAAAAUGCGUGCAAAAUGGCUUUGUGGUUUGGUGGUCGUGAGUCGAUUUUUUUGUUUUCCCAUACAAAUGAAUUUUGCGGAAAAUAAAAAGUGGCCCACGAAGCAGUUCUGGCGUGCGGCCCACUAAAACGGUCUCGGAGGGUAUAUGAGAAGGGAGCAAAUCCGGCCGAGCCUGAAAGGGCGAGGACAAACCGGGCGAGCAACCUCUCAGUAUCAGAUCUUGCAGACUUCCACUGCGUGUCCCUCUGUACAGCUUUGCAGGCUCCGGCCUCGGCAGCGGGGGGUUCAUAGUGGUCGUCGACCUCCACGAAACUGCACGCUCCGGCGUGACAGCGUACUGGGGAUGCCUGUGUAGAUGCAGUCCGGGCUUGCCUGGACCGCUAGCAGAUGGGCUCUGUGGAUGACUGGCCGCUGGCUAGACCUGAAACCUGAGCAACGGGAGGUAACCUCUCGCCGCGGACACCGGAAUGGUAGAAGCGGCGUGCUGCGUCCUCCUCUUGGGGCCCCUAAGCCACACCUCCCAUAGCGGGUUCGGUGCGGCGGACGGACGCCCUGGGGAAUUUAGAGGGGGAAAGCGGAUUGCCCUAGCGGUGUUGUUGGCCCUGCCGACCUCACUGCGAAAGGCGCGACUUCACCGUCGCCACCCAGUAACUUGUCU
RNAcentral lists this unclassified non-coding RNA (2400 nucleotides) under Fusarium oxysporum f. sp. cubense. Its description in RNAcentral is "partial contains 28S ribosomal RNA and intergenic spacer region". The stretch from base 1 to 175 matches the Rfam family "Eukaryotic large subunit ribosomal RNA", at positions 3227 to 3401 of the family's 3401-position model. Lineage: Eukaryota; Fungi; Ascomycota; Sordariomycetes; Hypocreales; Nectriaceae. The record is from RNAcentral.